This 468-nucleotide ribosomal RNA is filed under the name uncultured bacterium. RNAcentral describes it as "partial 16S ribosomal RNA". It matches the Rfam family "Bacterial small subunit ribosomal RNA", at positions 28 to 507 of the family's 1533-position model. The record is from RNAcentral.
GACGAACGCUGGCGGCGUGCUUAACACAUGCAAGUCGAACGGAAAGGCCCUGCUUUUGUGGGGUGCUCGAGUGGCGAACGGGUGAGUAACACGUGAGUAACCUGCCCUUGACUUUGGGAUAACUUCAGGAAACUGGGGCUAAUACCGGAUAGGAGCUCCUGCUGCAUGGUGGGGGUUGGAAAGUUUCGGCGGUUGGGGAUGGACUCGCGGCUUAUCAGCUUGUUGGUGGGGUAGUGGCUUACCAAGGCUUUGACGGGUAGCCGGCCUGAGAGGGUGACCGGCAGCAGUGGGACAGAGAGAGGGCGGGGGCUCGUCCGGGAGGAGGGAGUGGGGGAUAGGGAAGACUGGGCGGGAGCCUGAUGCAGCAACGGCGCGUGCGGGAUGAAGGCCGACGGGAGGGAGACAGCUUGCGCCGGUGAAGAAGCGUGAGGGAGGGGAAGGGGUAAAGCAGCAACGGCAAACUAGGUG